This 1197-nucleotide long non-coding RNA is filed under the name Scleropages formosus (Asian bonytongue). RNAcentral's name for it is "lncRNA (ENSSFOG00015026696.1)". Lineage: Eukaryota; Metazoa; Chordata; Actinopteri; Osteoglossiformes; Osteoglossidae. The record is from RNAcentral.
CCAUUUGACGAAACUUCGGUGUCUUCCGUGACUCUAUUUGCAGCUUUUCAUAAAGUGGCUCAUUUUGAGCACCCACUGGACGGUCUCGGUAGGAAAGGCGUCUCUCUUUCUGUCUGUCUCUGUCUCUCUCUCUCUCUUUCUGUGUCUGUCUCUGUCUCUCUCUCUCUCUUUCUGUGUCUGUCUCUGUCUCUCUCUCUCUCUUUCUGUGUCUGUCUCUGUCUCUCUCUCUCUUUCUGUGUCUGUCUCUAUCUUUCUUUCUUUCUUUCUCCCCCCCCCUUCUCUCUGUCUCUCUCUUUCUGUCCCUCUCUCCCUCCCCUCUCUCUUUCUGUCUGUCUUUCUCUCUCUCUCUUUCUGUCUCUCUGCCCCACUCUUGUCUCUCCCCCUCUGUCUUUCUCUCCCUCUCUGUCUCUCUCUCUCCCUCCCCUCUCCUCUCUCUUUCUGUGUCUGUCUCUAUCUUUCUUUCUUUCUCUCUCCCCCCCCUUCUGUCUGUCUCCCUCUCUUUCUGUCUCUCUGCCCCUCUCUUUCUUUCUCCCCUCCCCCUUUUCUGUCUCUGUCUCUUUCUCUUUCUUUCUGUCUCUCCGUCUCUGCUGUUCUCAGUCGGCGCUGCAGUCCGCAGAGCCCAGUGCGGUAACAGUUAAGCAGCGGAGCGGAGUAUCGCGCUCCCGCCCCCGAGCUCCGUCCGUGUGCCGCGGCCCUUCCUCCACUCGAGAGAUACUUUCGCAUUCGGCUGCUCCCGCGUCCGCUCCGCACACACACACACACACACACGCAGAGAGAGAGAGACAGACAGACAGACACAGAGCCCGACCCCGGCCGGGUUUUUCCACGCUGUCAGUCAGUCAGUGUUUCCCGAGCGCCGGCGACACACUCGUCCUCCUCGUCCUCCUCCUCCUUGUCUCCCGCUCGCUGGAGCGCCGCUUCUUCACUUCACUUCACUUGUGCGCAAAGUUGCGCAGAGAACAGAGGCCGAGAGAGAGCCGCGCCAUAAAGACACAUGUAACAUCCUGCAGGGCUGGCAGGGGCUUCGGUGUCCGCACACACACACACACCGCUGUAGCGUUCGUGUCCAUGACACUCUGCGUGUUUCAGCUCGUCUGGUCGCCGUGCAGAGAAGCGGGUCAGACGACGUGCGCUGGCGGGUGUGUGAGCGCACGCGGCACGUACCGUACGGGAUCAUCAUCAUCAUCAUCAUCAUGA